Molecule: long non-coding RNA, 212 nt
Filed under: Vigna radiata
Lineage: Eukaryota; Viridiplantae; Streptophyta; Magnoliopsida; Fabales; Fabaceae
Description: long non-coding RNA (VRAD_LNC012312)
Source: RNAcentral
UUUUGCUGAAGCUAUUCUUUUUACCUUGACCUGCAUGGUUAGACAGUUGACUAUCAUUUUGAAUAAGUCGACUAAAUUUUCUUACCAUCAAGGUCAUCAAUUCUCUUUCGUCCAUGUCUGUUUCUGAGUUGUUCUUGCUUGUAGCUUUCAAAACAAUGGACUUCUUUUCUUCAAUCUCUUCUUCAUCCUUCAAUCUACCGAGUUCCAAUUCG